This 532-nucleotide long non-coding RNA is filed under the name Nicotiana benthamiana. RNAcentral's name for it is "long non-coding RNA (NBEN_LNC023539)". The record is from RNAcentral. Lineage: Eukaryota; Viridiplantae; Streptophyta; Magnoliopsida; Solanales; Solanaceae.
UCACACAUGCAACUUCUGAACACGCUACUCAACAUUAAAACUAGCUAUACCAAAGCAUGACUAAAUACAUCAGUUCACAACUUUACACAUAUUGGACUAAAUUGAUCAUCCACUAUACAAAGGCUUCACUAAUAACAAACUAAUGAACACAUAAACAUAUAAUAGGACAUAAAUGAAUACAACAACAAAUUAUCCAAGCUAGACUCCCAUGAGACAUUGUAUCAUCAGAAAUUCCAAAUCCCAUUUCAACAUAUCAUUUGAGAUUCAAUGUCUACCUGGUUACAACAGCAAACAAAGAAGAUAAGCUGAAGAUUUUAAGAUGAAACAUCAGCAAUAGUUAGAAAUGGAAACAGUCAAACAAGAUAUAAAUAUCCAAUCUUCGACCCAGCUUCAAACCCCAGAAUUAAUACCAGUUUUAGAACCAUUGAAAAUCAGACUGAAAGGAAACUUUAGAACCAGGCAAUUCUAUGAAAAUUUCGGUAUUUUAGAGUCUAAAAGAAGCUCAGUUGUUCCUCAAGUUUUUCAGUUUUUU